This 494-nucleotide ribosomal RNA is filed under the name uncultured bacterium. Its description in RNAcentral is "partial 16S ribosomal RNA". It matches the Rfam family "Bacterial small subunit ribosomal RNA", at positions 28 to 507 of the family's 1533-position model. The record is from RNAcentral.
GACGAACGCUGGCGGCGUGCCUAAUACAUGCAAGUCGAACGGUGAAGCGCCAGCUUUCUUGGUUGGAGUGGAUGAGUGGCGAACGGGUGAGUAACACGAAAGUAACCUGCCGCGUUCUACUGGAAAACCGCACGAAAGCGUGGAUAACACGGGAUAAUAUGGGUCUUUCGCUUGAUGGAUCUGGGAAAGUUAUAGCAUUACUGGAGGAUGGGCCGGGGGCUUAUCAGCUUGUUGGUGUGGUGAUGGCCUACCAAAGCGGUGACGGGUAGCCGGCCUGGGAGGGUGGACGGACUGGGAGGGACAGAGGGACGGGCCACCCUCGGACGGCAGGCGGCAGGGGGGAUUAGUGCACGAUGGGAGUAAGCCUGAUGCAGCGACGCCGCGUGAGGGAUGGUGUCCUUCGGUUUAGGAACCUCUUUCGCGAAGGAAGCGUGCGUGCGUCGAUUGUGCGUAGGUUGACGGUAGCUUAAUAGAAAGCGACGGCUAACUACGUG